RNAcentral lists this ribosomal RNA (468 nucleotides) under uncultured bacterium. RNAcentral's name for it is "partial 16S ribosomal RNA". It matches the Rfam family "Bacterial small subunit ribosomal RNA", at positions 28 to 507 of the family's 1533-position model. The record is from RNAcentral.
GACGAACGCUGGCGGCGUGCUUAAUACAUGCAAGUCGAACGGAAAGGCGCUGCGCUUGCGGGGCGCUCGAGUGGCGAACGGGGGAGUAAAACGUGAGUAUCCUGUCCCUGACUGUGUGAGAUCUCUAGGAAACUGGGGCUAAUAUCGGAGAGGAGCUCCUGCUCCACGGGGGGGGAUGGAGAGUGUCGGCGGUUGGGGAUGGUAUGGCUGCUUAUCAGCUUGUUUGUGGGGUAGUGGCUUUCCAAGGCUUUGACGGGUAGCCGGCCUGAGAGGUUGACCGGCCACCUUGGGACUGCGGUACGGAGCAGUCUGCAACGGGACGCAGCAGGGGGGAGUCUUGCGGAAUGGGCGGACGCCUGAUGCGGCGGCGCCGCGUGCGGGAUGCCGGCCUUCGGGUUGUGAACCGAUUUCGAAUGAGACGUAGAGUGAGUGACGGUAAUGGGUAAAGAAGCACCGGCUAACUACGUG